AAAACAAUACUGGCAUAUGCACCCCACCCCCAUGAUUCUGAUUUAUUUGGUCUAGAGUGGGGGCCCUGAGUAUAAAAUCUUCCCAAGGGGUGGGAACCAUAGUAUUAAUGCUCAAUACAUAUUUCUUGCCUGAAUGAACACAGCUCACUCUACAAUUAACGUCAGCAUAACCACACACAACAAAUUAUAUGUGAGAGUGUUUUUAUAUUGAUUUCUAUUCCUCCUUAAUAGGAAUCGGCCGAAUCUCUUUGCCAGCAAUUGUCUCUAUUCUAGUCGAUAUCAGAGUUUUCUUAACACCCUCUCCACCGUUUUUCUCCUUUUAUUUAUGUUACUACCUCUUCUUGGUCACUCUAGGAUGCAUUGGGAAUCUGGCUUCCUCAUAUCAAGAUCCUUGUAAUGAUUGCCUGAUGAGUGAGUUCAUCAGCUGUAUUUAAAAAGUGUUGCCAUACCCCAAGCUCCUCAAAAUGCCCUGUGCGCUCUUUAUUUACUUGAGUCUGUAGCGUCUUCUUCCCAGAAGCCUUUGUUCUGAGCCAUGCUGGCCUGGGUUGGGAGGAGGAGUAAAAAGAUCCACUUCCAAGUUGAAGCUGCACUGAGAAGGCAGCUCCACGGUGCAGAAGUCAAGGAUCCCACGACUCCGUUGUGCAAAGGGGCUCACCCCUCCGUCUCCUUUCCUCAGCCGGAAUAUUACUCAUUCUUGUUUUCUGAGUUUAAUAGUUAUACCCUGCUGUAUCCAUUUUAAUAUUUUAUUCCAACAUGAAUUUUAGUGUAAGAAAGUCUUUCAAAAAAGAAGUUGCCGAAAGCAUACUAUCUGCAGUGCCCAGAACAUUCUGAGGAUUUCUGAGGAACAGAAAGUAGACUACUUCUUGUCACAAAAUGCCUGCCCCAGGAGAGACAGUGCCUUCUGGAAGGGACAAGAUCAAAUGACAGGAGCGGAAUGCUUUACAAGUUCCGAAGCUUGGCACAAAUGAUCAUUGGUAUCAAAAUUAUACUAUCACCAAAAGAAGAAUAAAAAAGCACCCUGCUUACCUGCGUAAAACUUUUCAUCUUACUUGCAAGCUACUGGUGCAGCCAGACCACACAGUCUCGAGAACGUCAGCUCCAGAAGGCCGAGGACUGUCCACUGUCUCCUUCAUCCUGGCACCGAGAAUGAGACACAGCUCCUAAAAGGGACAAGGACAGAAUUCAUGCCGCUGCAUAAGGGACGAGGAAAUAUGACGCAGGUGCUGUGGAUUAAUCCCUUUUUGCAGCAUUUCCAGCUGUGGAAUGCACACCUGAGAAACAGCGUUCAGCUGGCGGAACCAAGACCUGGGGAGGAACCAGCUUUGCUGUGUCCACCGCCUCAGACCCUGCUUCUUUGAUUCCAGUGACUAAUUCGCUUCUUUUCCUCACACAUGCAUUCUUCAUUCCUCUAACUUGAGAAGAACCUGAGGCUAAUUGCGUAAUUGCCCCUCCUCCAAGAGAUCAAUAAUAAGUUUUCCUGAACGUGGGAUUCACCCAUGUCAAGGUGGAGGGAGAAGCUACCCUUUAAAUUCUAUUAUCCUAAAGGCUUUCGUAUCACAAAUCUGGCAAAUGAGAACAGAUGCUGCUCGACGAACUAUGCUAUGCAAUGCUAUCCAGUGCUAUACGAAAAAAUGCUGUACUACAUGAACAAAUGAUACUCUUUGUCUCCCAUUCCCCAGUGGUCAUCUUGUGAUUGAGAUGUCCGCUUGUUCUCUUUCUUUAUGUUAUCUUCAUGUUCCAAUUCAAAAUCCUUCUACAUUUCAUACCUUUAUGGAAACAUCCAGUACAAACAGGCAUUGCCUCUCAAGCAACUUUUGUUUCUUGAACAUCUGUAAUCUUACUGCACUCUCGGUCAGAGAGAAUCACUGGAAUCUUUUCUCCUCAGCAGAUUGCCUAUUCCUGCAUGGUAGAUGUUUUACUCAGGAC
Molecule: long non-coding RNA, 1926 nt
Filed under: Equus asinus (donkey)
Lineage: Eukaryota; Metazoa; Chordata; Mammalia; Perissodactyla; Equidae
Description: lncRNA (ENSEASG00005034745.1, ENSEASG00020019018.1)
Source: RNAcentral